CCAUGACGAUCUUGACGAAUCCUUGCUUCUUCUUCUCUUUCUCCUCUUCUUUCUCUCUUCUCUCAAAAAGCCCUAACUCUCACUUUUAAAAGGGAAAAAAUGAUUUAAAAUCAGUCUAACACCUCAAUAUAACCAAAAGAAAAUGGCUAGGGAAAAGACCAAAAUACCCUUACAAAUUCGGGCUAACUGCCCUGCCAACAGCC
RNAcentral lists this long non-coding RNA (203 nucleotides) under Solanum tuberosum (potato). Its description in RNAcentral is "long non-coding RNA (STUB_LNC000322)". Lineage: Eukaryota; Viridiplantae; Streptophyta; Magnoliopsida; Solanales; Solanaceae. The record is from RNAcentral.